RNAcentral lists this small nuclear RNA (105 nucleotides) under Salvator merianae (Argentine black and white tegu). The record is from RNAcentral. Lineage: Eukaryota; Metazoa; Chordata; Lepidosauria; Squamata; Teiidae.
UUGCCCUUCAGCAGCACAUACACUAACAUUGGAACAAUAUAGAGAAGAUUAGCAUGGCCCCUGCAAAAGGAUGACACACAAAUUCAUGAAGUGUUCCAAAAUUUA